GCGGCAUGCUUAACACAUGCAAGUCGAACGGUAACGGGCCUUCGGGCGCCGACGAGUGGCGGACGGGUGAGUAACGCGUAGGAAUCUGCCUGGUAGUGGGGGACAACUUAGGGAAACUUAAGCUAAUACCGCAUACGCCUUACGGGGGAAAGCGGGGGAUCUUCGGACCUCGCGCUAUCAGAUGAGCCUGCGUUGGAUUAGCUAGUUGGUAGGGUAAAGGCCUACCAAGGCGACGAUCCAUAGCUGGUCUGAGAGGACGAUCAGCCACACUGGGACUGAGACACGGCCCAGACUCCUACGGGAGGCAGCAGUGGGGAAUAUUGGACAAUGGGCGAAAGCCUGAUCCAGCAAUGCCGCGUGUGUGAAGAAGCCUGAGGGUUGUAAAGCACUUUCAAUGGGAAGGAAAAAAGCCGGGCUAAUACCCCGAUUCUUGACAUUACCUAUAGAAGAACACCGGCUAACUCCGUGCCA
This 471-nucleotide ribosomal RNA is filed under the name uncultured Methylomicrobium sp. Its description in RNAcentral is "bacterial SSU rRNA". It matches the Rfam family "Bacterial small subunit ribosomal RNA", at positions 39 to 510 of the family's 1533-position model. Lineage: Bacteria; Pseudomonadati; Pseudomonadota; Gammaproteobacteria; Methylococcales; Methylococcaceae. The record is from RNAcentral.